UGAAAUGCUAGUCUGCAGAAGCAGGCAACACUAUCAAAUUGCGGGAACACCCUAAAGACCUCAACACCAAGCGUCAUGGGAAACCAUGGCGUGGCCGAGCUAAUAGCCCUGGGUAUGGUAACAGCUUGAGGUAUGAAGCCUUCGCAAGGAGGCCGAAAUGGGCAAUCCGCAGCCAAGUCCUAACGUGCUCGAAACCGAGUGCCAUGGAUGCUGUUCACAGGCCAAAUGGUAGUGGGUGACUCUUGCGAGUUGCUUAAGAUAUGGUCGGGCCCCUUCAGAAAUGUGGGGGAUAAGCUUACGCUUCUCCAAACCGUUCCGUAGGUGAACCUGCGGAAGGAUCAUU
Molecule: non-coding RNA, 343 nt
Filed under: Acrocalymma vagum
Lineage: Eukaryota; Fungi; Ascomycota; Dothideomycetes; Pleosporales; Acrocalymmaceae
Description: partial 18S ribosomal RNA
Rfam family: Group I catalytic intron (bases 1-288)
About the family: Group I catalytic introns are large self-splicing ribozymes. They catalyse their own excision from mRNA, tRNA and rRNA precursors in a wide range of organisms.
Source: RNAcentral